AUGAUGGUGACCUAAACCCUCACCAGAGUAACAAUUGGAGGGCAAGUCUGGUGCCAGCAGCCGCGGUAAUUCCAGCUCCAAUAGCGUAUAUUAAACUUGUUGCAGUUAAAAAGCUCGUAGUUGAAUUUUUGCGUGGUGUUAAUAUUGACUGAUGUCGAGAUUGCACUUCGCUUUUGGGAUUUUUCCCUUUUUACUUUGAGAAAAUUAGAGUGUUUCAAGCAGACUUUUGUCUUGAAUACUUCAGCAUGGAAUAAUAGAGUAGGACUUUGGUUCUAUUUUGUUGGUUUGUGAACCUUAGUAAUGGUUAAUAGGAACGGUUGGGGGCAUUCGUAUUUAACUGUCAGAGGUGAAAUUCUUAGAUUUGUUAAAGACGAACUACUGCGAAAGCAUUUGCCAAGGACGUUUUCAUUAAUCAAGAACGAAAGUUAGGGGAUCGAAGACGAUCAGAUACCGUCGUAGUCCUAACCAUAAACUAUGCCGACUAGGGAUUGGAGGUCGUCAUUUUUCCGACUCCUUCAGCACCUUGAGAGAAAUC
This 535-nucleotide ribosomal RNA is filed under the name Babesia capreoli. RNAcentral's name for it is "SSU rRNA". It matches the Rfam family "Eukaryotic small subunit ribosomal RNA", at positions 514 to 1099 of the family's 1831-position model. The record is from RNAcentral. Lineage: Eukaryota; Apicomplexa; Aconoidasida; Piroplasmida; Babesiidae.